AAUUUAAGGUUUUUACUUCCCCCAAUCUUUUGUUUUUUUCUUGUUAAUUUCAAAUGUCAGUUUCUCUAAGACUGAAACUUACUCUCACCAUCAGCAUGCUACUCAGCUUCCCUAAAGCUGGAAGUCUCAGAAGCACCAGUGUGUCCUUUUCAAGGACCAUUUCUUUUCUAAAGAAUAUGGAAAUUGAACUCAGUCCUACGAGUGGCACUACUUCAAAAAUCAGGCAGGAAUGUUGCCUUUGUUUUUCCUUGAGCUACUUUUUUCCAAAAUAAUAAAUCUUCCUGAUCUGAAAGCAUUUCACGUACUUCUUCAUCCUCGUCAUUGGAAUUACAGCCAAAAUGUCUCUCAGUCUUCCCCAGUGACCUCAUAAUCACGACUUCUCCAGCAUAUUACCCUGGUUAACUUCUCUUUUGUUCCUCAGCCUGAUUAUAAAUUGGCCUUUGGUUCUGAGAUGUGUCAUUUGCCUCCCUGACCUCUUUGUUCCACUCCUGGUGGCGGGAGGACAGCACUGAUGCCCCUGCCCGUGGCUGCCUGGUUAUUGGUUCCCUCUCCUGCCUGUGUCAGCUUUCAUCUUCCCUUUUUCCAAGCA
This 589-nucleotide long non-coding RNA is filed under the name Bos taurus (domestic cattle). RNAcentral's name for it is "long non-coding RNA NONBTAT025542". The record is from RNAcentral. Lineage: Eukaryota; Metazoa; Chordata; Mammalia; Artiodactyla; Bovidae.